Ornithodoros turicata is the source of this 564-nucleotide long non-coding RNA. RefSeq lists it as uncharacterized. The transcript has 2 exons. The record is from RefSeq and is a predicted model, not a curated record. Lineage: Eukaryota; Metazoa; Arthropoda; Arachnida; Ixodida; Argasidae.
AUCGGAGUUGCUUCUAGACUGGUAUGCCCUGUUACGAGUGCGACAGCUGACCAGUGUGACAACUGUCCCCGCUUGCGCUUGCACCUCUAUUCACCUCUACUGAUUGCAGCGCAUGAAGGUUGUGUAUGAGGACUACCCCUUCGUAAAUAACGGCAUGGCGUCUCACCUUCUUUCACCAACAGAGUCAAUUCACCGUCUAUCUGAGCCGUCGUCGCUUUUUCAUAGGAAUUGUAACUGGUUCCUCAAGACCAGGGACGGGCGCACUUCAUCUCAGACGGAAUUGCCUUUUGGUCUUGUUUCCUGUUACGAAAGUUCCAUUGUAGGUCUUCGAAUGAAGAGUAUUUUGACCGCAAACAUGGAGCGCUACAGGAACCUACCUCAAAGCUGCCUUCUCUUGCUUGUUUCUCCGUGACGUAAUGAACUACAUGGGAAGUGAAAAAAGGUCGAAGGCAGAAAAAGAAAAUACUUGAUUUUCUCUGCGGGUGGGUGAACCCGGGAGGCCUUUGUACGACUUAAAAAGACUUGUACGACUUGCUUGAAAAUAAAAGUACGAUUUCUGCUCCA